GAUUAAUAGGGACGGUCGGGGGCAUCAGUAUUCAGUCGUCAGAGGUGAAAUUCUUGGAUUGACUGAAGACUAACUACUGCGAAAGCAUUUGCCAAGGACGUUUUCAUUAAUCAAGAACGAAAGUUAGGGGAUCGAAGAUGAUCAGAUACCGUCGUAGUCUUAACCAUAAACUAUGCCGACUAGGGAUCGGGUGGUGCUACUUUGCCCACUCGGCACCUUACGAGAAAUCAAAGUUUUUGGGUUCUGGGGGGAGUAUGGUCGCAAGGCUGAAACUUAAAGGAAUUGACGGAAGGGCACCACCAGGAGUGGAGCCUGCGGCUUAAUUUGACUCAACACGGGGAAACUCACCAGGUCCAGACGUAAUAAGGAUUGACAAGUUAGAGACUUCUCUUGAUCUUACGGGUGGUGGUGCAUGGCCGUUUUUAGUCCUUGGAGUGAUUUGUCUGCUUAAUUGCGAUAACGGACGAGACCUUAACCUGCUAAAUAGGGCUGCGAGCAUCUGCUCGGGUGCUCUUCUUAGAGGGACUAUGGGUAUCAAACCCAUGGAAGUUUGAGGCAACAACAGGUCUGUGAUGCCCUUAGACGUUCUGGGCCGCACGCGCGCUAC
Molecule: ribosomal RNA, 607 nt
Filed under: [Candida] sp. Levazot29
Lineage: Eukaryota; Fungi; Ascomycota; Saccharomycetes; Saccharomycetales
Description: SSU rRNA
Rfam family: Eukaryotic small subunit ribosomal RNA
Source: RNAcentral